RNAcentral lists this ribosomal RNA (700 nucleotides) under uncultured bacterium. Its description in RNAcentral is "bacterial SSU rRNA". It matches the Rfam family "Bacterial small subunit ribosomal RNA", at positions 102 to 798 of the family's 1533-position model. The record is from RNAcentral.
ACGGGUGAGUAAAGCUUAGGAAUCUGCCAUUUAGUGGGGGACAACAUUCCGAAAGGAAUGCUAAUACCGCAUACGUCCUACGGGAGAAAGCAGGGGAUCGUAAGACCUUGCGCUAAAUGAUGAGCCUAAGUCGGAUUAGCUAGUUGGUGGGGUAAAGGCCUACCAAGGCGACGAUCUGUAGCGGGUCUGAGAGGAUGAUCCGCCACACUGGGACUGAGACACGGCCCAGACUCCUACGGGAGGCAGCAGUGGGGAAUAUUGGACAAUGGGGGGAACCCUGAUCCAGCCAUGCCGCGUGUGUGAAGAAGGCCUUAUGGUUGUAAAGCACUUUAAGCGAGGAGGAGGCUUACCUAGUUAAUACCUAGGCUAAGUGGACGUUACUCGCAGAAUAAGCACCGGCUAACUCUGUGCCAGCAGCCGCGGUAAUACAGAGGGUGCGAGCGUUAAUCGGAUUUACUGGGCGUAAAGCGUGCGUAGGCGGCCAUUUAAGUCAAAUGCGAAAUCCCCGAGCUUAACUUGGGAAUUGCAUUCGAUACUGGAUGGCUAGAGUAUGGAAGAGGAUGGUAGAAUUCCAGGCGUAGCGGUGAAAUGCGUAGAGAUCUGGAGGAAUACCGAUGGCGAAGGCAGCCAUCUGGCCUAAUACUGACGCUGAGGUACGAAAGCAUGGGGAGCAAACAGGAUUAGAUACCUGGUAGUCCAU